Molecule: ribosomal RNA, 347 nt
Filed under: Staphylococcus sp.
Lineage: Bacteria; Bacillati; Bacillota; Bacilli; Caryophanales; Staphylococcaceae
Description: bacterial SSU rRNA
Rfam family: Bacterial small subunit ribosomal RNA
Source: RNAcentral
GCUUGCUCCUUUGAAGUUAGCGGCGGACGGGUGAGUAACACGUGGGUAACCUACCUAUAAGACUGGGAUAACUUCGGGAAACCGGAGCUAAUACCGGAUAACAUUUAGAACCGCAUGGUUCUAAAGUGAAAGAUGGUUUUGCUAUCACUUAUAGAUGGACCCGCGCCGUAUUAGCUAGUUGGUAAGGUAACGGCUUACCAAGGCGACGAUACGUAGCCGACCUGAGAGGGUGAUCGGCCACACUGGAACUGAGACACGGUCCAGACUCCUACGGGAGGCAGCAGUAGGGAAUCUUCCGCAAUGGGCGAAAGCCUGACGGAACAACGCCGCGUGAGUGAUGAAGGGGU